GACGAACGCUGGCGGCGUGCUUAACACAUGCAAGUCGAACGGGUCUGCCCUGUUUUUUGCGGGGUGGGUCAGUGGCGAACGGGUGAGUAACACGUGAGUAACCUGCCCCUCACUUCUGGAUAACCGCUUGAAAGGGUGGCUAAUACGGGGUGUUCUAGCUGUGCCGCAUGGUGUGGCUGGGAAAGAUUCACUUUUGUGGUGUUUUGGUGGGGGAUGGGCUCGCGGCCUAUCAGCUUGUUGGUGGGGUGAUGGCCUGCCAAGGCUUUGACGGGUAGCCGGCCUGAGAGGGUGGGCGGUCACACUGGGACUGAGAUACGGCCCAGACUCCUGCGGGAGGCAGCAGUGGGGGGUAUUGCACAAUGGGCGGAAGCCUGAUGCAGCGACGUCGCGUGAGGGAUGGAGGCCUUCGGGUUGUGAACCUCUUUCGCCGGUGAAGAAGGUCCUGCUCUUUGUGGUGGGGUUGACGGUAGCCGGGUUAUGAAGCGCCGGCUAACUACGUG
RNAcentral lists this ribosomal RNA (500 nucleotides) under uncultured bacterium. RNAcentral's name for it is "partial 16S ribosomal RNA". It matches the Rfam family "Bacterial small subunit ribosomal RNA", at positions 28 to 507 of the family's 1533-position model. The record is from RNAcentral.